GAUCAAUCUGUGAGUGCAAGAAUAUAGGAUUACAAGUCGGUUGGAUUCGCGACGACGAAGAGCAUCGCCCGAACAUUUGUAUUCUUCAACGCGACCGAAUUCUAUCUGCGUCAAGUCUCACAGAAGCGAGCUGUCCGCGAAGCAUCGGCGCAGUAUCUCGCAGCCGCCGCUUCUCGGCACUUCCUCGAGUUACCGUGCGUUGCUUCGUGAUGCGAAAGAGUCGCGUAAUAGAAUCUAACCUGUACUUUGGCAGGCUUUCCGAUCGUCCCUUUCGACGUGGUAUCUAAAAUUGACGAGCAUUUAUGUACACCGCACUUGACGACGUCCGUCUUAAGCGGUUGCAGCCUCCCGAUGUAUCUCGUAAGCAUUUCCAAGGGCGGUCGACUUCCAACAAUUGGCUCCCGGAAAAAAUGCUUACUUGCACAAGAAAA
Long non-coding RNA from Solenopsis invicta (red fire ant), 431 nucleotides. RefSeq lists it as uncharacterized. The record is from RefSeq and is a predicted model, not a curated record. NCBI's taxonomy places the organism in Eukaryota, Metazoa, Arthropoda, Insecta, Hymenoptera, Formicidae. The transcript has 2 exons.